RNAcentral lists this ribosomal RNA (491 nucleotides) under uncultured bacterium. RNAcentral describes it as "partial 16S ribosomal RNA". It matches the Rfam family "Bacterial small subunit ribosomal RNA", at positions 29 to 506 of the family's 1533-position model. The record is from RNAcentral.
AGUGAACGCUGGCGGUAGGCCUAACACAUGCAAGUCGAACGGCAGCACAGUAAGAGCUUGCUCUUACGGGUGGCGAGUGGCGGACGGGUGAGGAAUACAUCGGAAUCUACUUUUUCGUGGGGGAUAACGUAGGGAAACUUACGCUAAUACCGCAUACGACCUACGGGUGAAAGCAGGGGAUCUUCGGACCUUGCGCGAUUGAAUGAGCCGAUGUCGGAUUAGCUAGUUGGCGGGGUAAAGGCCCACCAAGGCGACGAUCCGUAGCUGGUCUGAGAGGAUGAUCAGCCACACUGGAACUGAGACACGGUCCAGGCUCCGACGGGAGGCAGCAGUGGGGAAUAUUGGACAAGGGGCGCAAGCCUGAUCCAGCCAUACCGCGGGGGUGAAGAAGGCCUUCGGGUUGUAAAGCCCUUUUGUUGGGAAAGAAAAGCAGCAGGUUAAUACCCCGCUGUUCUGACGGUACCCAAAGAAUAAGCACCGGCUAACUUCGU